This 299-nucleotide ribosomal RNA is filed under the name uncultured Thauera sp. RNAcentral's name for it is "partial 16S ribosomal RNA". It matches the Rfam family "Bacterial small subunit ribosomal RNA", at positions 1082 to 1382 of the family's 1533-position model. The record is from RNAcentral. Lineage: Bacteria; Pseudomonadati; Pseudomonadota; Betaproteobacteria; Rhodocyclales; Zoogloeaceae.
AAGUCCCGCAACGAGCGCAACCUUGUCAUUAGUUGCCAUCAUUUAGUUUGGGCACUCUAAUGAGACUGCCGGUGACAAACCGGAGGAAGGUGGGGAUGACGUCAAGUCCUCAUGGCCCUUAUGGGUAGGGCUUCACACGUCAUACAAUGGUCGGUACAGAGGGUUGCCAAGCCGCGAGGUGGAGCCAAUCCCUUAAAGCCGAUCGUAGUCCGGAUCGUAGUCUGCAACUCGACUACGUGAAGUCGGAAUCGCUAGUAAUCGCAGAUCAGCAUGCUGCGGUGAAUACGUUCCCGGGUCUU